UGCGUAGGUGGUUAGGUAAGACCUGUGGGAAAGACCUGGGCUUAACCCAGGAAGGUCGCAGGUGACUGCCUGGCUAGAGGGCGGGAGAGGAGCGCGGAAUUCCCGGUGUAGCGGUAGAAAUGCGUAGAGAUCGGGAGGAAGGCCGGUGGCGAAGGCGGCGCUCUGGAACGUUCCUGACACUGAGGCACGAAAGCGUGGGGAGCAAACAGGAUUAGAUACCCUGGUAGUCCACGCCCUAAACGAUGGGUACUAAGUGUCGGCGGGUUACCGCCGGUGCCGCACCUAACGGAGUAAGUACCCCGCCUGGGGAGUACGGCCGCAAGGUUGAA
Molecule: ribosomal RNA, 329 nt
Filed under: uncultured bacterium
Lineage: Bacteria
Description: bacterial SSU rRNA
Rfam family: Bacterial small subunit ribosomal RNA
Source: RNAcentral